ACCACAUACACUUAUUAUAUGAUGUUUGUAAAACAGAACUUUGACUAGUCAUAAAUGUAAAAAUUCAGAGGGGUCAUAUCCACCAUCUAAACUCAGCAGACCUUAAUGCAUCAGAGUGCACAGGGGUAGUCUUGCGCAUGAAAGGUCCUUCAGGAAGUCUUUGUGAAUGUUGUGCAUGUUGGAGCAGCAUUUCCGAUGUGAGCACAUGAGUGGAAAAUGAGCUUUAACUAAGCUUGUAAACAUGACCAUCUCCUCCAUGGCUUUUAAUCAGCUUCACAACUGUCCCACUCCAGAGAAUUAGAUAAGAGAUCUUAGUAGCUUAAAUAGUGCUUUGCAAACAGAUGUACAUCAAUAAGUGCAUCUGGAGUGCUGUUUUGCAUUCGUAUCUGUCUACAACAUAAACUGUUUUACACACAACAUAGAGUGAGAGCUGAUUAUUUUAUGGCUAUUAUAUCAUUAUAUAUUUUACAAAUGUGUAAAUGAUAAAGAAACAUCCCAUGCAUACUUACCAAAUAGUCUUAAAUUUGUGAUUCAAAGUACUUGCAUAAUAACUAAUGCACACAGAUUCCCGGUGCAAAUUAUGCUUAUGGAACACUAUGGUUAUGUUGUUAUGCCACUGUGGAAAUGCAUGCACAUGCCUGCUAUCCCUCUGAUUUAUUUGAUUAGUUCUGCUAGAACAUUCAGUUUUCACAUCAUUAACAAAUUAACUAAGCUUGUGCAUGUACAGAAUAUCUGUAUUCAGAGCUUAAAUAUUUGUUCGACAGCUAAAAUAGAAACUUUUUUCCCCUCCCACACUUACCUUCGACAUUCACUGUCAUGUUGCUGGAACUUGAGAUAUUUCCGCUCAUUAUUCAUAAGCUGUUAUCAUUGCACAAACUAAUCAUGUUGAUUUCAUUUUUUCCAACAGUUAUUCCAUUAUCUUUUCUCUAUGUGAGUUCAUGGACCCCGGUCUAAUGGUUUUUGAUUCGUUAAUUUAUCACGGUAAGCAAUGUUUUGAAAUUUCCCUAAGCCUACUUGUAAUAAAGUAUAUUUGGCAGAAAAUAUAUGAAAGGGGAGGGAGCCUCUUUUGAAAAUGAUGUCAAAUACUUGUGAAUUACAUCAGAAUGAAUAAAUAAGAGGGUCAAGCAUUUUCUCUUAAGACUGUGUGAGCGAAUGCCAAGGAGAGAAAACAUUCAAUCUAAGAUUAAGAGAGUGCAGAGUCCAAACAGCUUCAGGCACUUUCUUUCUAUUCUCCGCUUCUCUCUCCUCACUGGUGCCUACUUAUUUUGCUCACACGCUUUACAUUCUCAUCAUAUUAAAAAUUCAUUUUAUCUUGAGUAAUGGGGCAAGCUCUGGCUUUUUCUUGUGAAUUUUCCCGAGCGCUCAUUUCAGGUAGUUUCUCUUGUAAGGGAUAGUUCACCCAAAAAUUUAAAUGAAAACUCUUAUGUUGUUCCAAAGCUGCGUGAUUCAGUUUCUUUUGUGGAACACAAAAGAAGAUGUUAUGAAAAGAGACUUUUUAUUUUAUUUUAUUUUUAUAUAUAUAUACAGUGAAAUUCAGUGGGGUUCACUGUUGAUUUGGACCCCAUUGACUUUCAUUGUAUAGGCAAAAACAGUCCUUCAGAAUGUCAUCUUUUGUGUUCCACAGAAGAAUUGAAUUAAUCAAUACAAGUGCACAACUAAUAAUGUAAACACAGUUAUGAAACAACAUUCUAAGACCAAACUGAAAAAAAGAAAAAAAAGCAAGCUUUGACCUGUAAAAAAAUUAAGAUUUGGAACCCUGAGCUCUCCCAGUGUUUGAGUAUUUGUUUACUGAGAGCGUUAAAUAAGGAAAUUGCUCUGCUUGCAUGCCUUACGUUUUCUUCCCAAUUAAUGCGUUUGUUUUUUAUUAAUCUCCUUUGGACUAUUAAACUGCAACCCCAGCAAAAAAAAAAAAAGAAACACUGUGCUGCUGGGAGUGUGAGGUCACAGAAGAGAGUAAGAAAGUUAAAGAAAAUUUUCUCACCGUGUUUCUGCUGCAUGGAAUGGUGCAUGCUGGGAGCUGAGGGAUCCUCUGCGGUUGUGAGGAACCCCCUGCUUCACCACGUCUCAAACUCUGGAGCAGGAAGUGGGACACCCCUGGACAGUCCAAAAGUUGACAAUGCGAGGCAGAAUUCUCUUUUUUUAACAGUCACAGAACUGUUAUUAUGGUGAUGCCUUGGGGGAAGCGGAGGACAUCCGGAGUUCAACGAGAAGGAAGAAAGCGGAGCAGAUUGUGACAGCUCUACAGCGGAACACGAGGAUCUGUGUUAGUGGAGCUCAGAUUGGCAGGAAAGCUGGUACGCGGCAGAGGGGCUCAGAGCUGAGCGUAGAUGCCGGCAGAUGUUGAAGAUGCCUUGCUGGACUGGGGAAGGCUAAGUAUGUGCACUGUAAAAAAUUAUUUAGCAGUUUAGUUGUUUCAAUGAAUUUUUUUAUGUUGACACAACUUGCAGUUACUGAAUUUGUUCAUUCAACUAAAAAUUUUAAGUUUUCAGUGUCUCAACUAGUUUGAAAGUUGACUGAACUAGGUUAUUUGUCCUUAUAACUUAAAAAAAUUUGUUGACUCAAUUCAAUAGCAAUAUCACAUUCACAACAUCACUUAUCGCGAGAUCUCGUCAUUCUCCUGAAUGCUGUUGAAGACAGAAGGUCGUCAGCCAUUCUAGUCAGUUUCUCCUCAAAGUUUGGACAUUUGACUAAAAUACAACUUUGGUAAGUAAACUAUUCGUAUUUAUUGGCUUAAUGUGUAAAAUUACAUUUGUUGUCUCAGAAGAGUAAGUAUGGUUAUAGAGUGGUAUAUUCUGUAUGUAAAUUACUGUAUGUAAAUGUUCGUUUCGCGGCACUCUGAAGCCUCAAAAUACAGGCAGUUCCACAGUAUUUUCCUUAUAAAUAUUAAAACAUAUAUUCUCCCAUGCGGGACAGUGGAGCUGAACUUAUGUGGAGAACGAUAAAAAUACAAUUUAAAUGUAUUAUUUGAGCCCAGGGCUGCGUUAGAGACCGUUCAAACAGAGCGCGAGAGCUCAACGGAUCACUGUAUGGAUUAAGAACGGCGGGAAUUUAAAAAAAAGGAGCUGCUCUAAACCUGACAGCGUAAGACAUCUGUCAGAAUAUACAUCGAUGAAAAAUUAGGGGAAAAAGAGAUUCCUACUCGAACUGUGUCUUUUCUGCAUGUUAUAAAGGAAACGAAUGAGCAGCACAGAUGAGCACCUCCCUCAGAGUGCUUCUGGAGCGCGUAACUUAACUUAACGUUACAUUUGAUAUCGCUGACAUAAGCUUAGUUCUGAUGAUUUUUUUUACAGUCUACGGUUCAGAUGAAGUUCUGAAGGUAGCGUUACAAACUCUUCUUUCAGUUUUCUGAAGUACGUUAGUCAUUCAAGUGCCUCACUAGAACCUAGAACCCAGUGUAAUGCUGCGUGAAUAUCUGUUUUUAUACAGUCUAUGGUGAAUAUACGGUCAUAAGUAAAUUGCAUACGUUCAAAUCUAUAUAUUUUAGAAUAAAAGCAUAUAUCUUGUAUAAAUAGAGAUACAAUAACGAUCGACACAAAUGUGUUAAAUUUCCUUUUAUUGUGUUAUAAUUCUGUGUUGUGUCAUUUAAAAGCAUUGUCUGGAUGGUAUAGUUUGUCUUUGGCAUUUAAUACAAACUUGUCAAUACAUUUGACUCUCUGUAAAGAUUUAUUUAUAUGUAUGUUUAUUAUUUUACAGUGUUUUAACAUGUUUUUGUAUUUUUCAUGUUUAUGAUAUUUUGGGAUGACUGAAGAUUCAGAGCAGAAUUCAAUAAUCCUGUGAAUGGACCACAGCGAGUCCUUUUGCAGUUAUCCAUCAAAAUGAUAUGCAGACAUAAUGGAAAUGGCAUUUACACAGUAGAGCUUGGACGAAGUUCACACAGGCUCUGCGCAGGAAUUCAUCAAGGACAUAACUGCUGGGAUUACGCUUGUGGAUGACCAAUCUGAGCACCAUCAGUCUGCAGUGAUGUAGUCCAGCCAUCCAGUGACAUUAAGGAUGUUGAGAAAGAAAUUGAAGAGGGCAUUCUGAUUGUAACUGAGGAACAGCAAUGUGAUGUGCUUCCCAAGGAAUAACCAACAUUGGUCUCAUUUGGACAUCCUUUCAUCACUGACAUCUCCCAUGUCCCCAAGGCAUUUAGACUCCUAAUGGGUCUGUAUGCAGUGAACAUCCACCACCUCCAGCACAUUAAAUACACCAUUGAGGCUCUGCAAAAACUUGUGAAGAUCAGCUGCUCCCACCGUGUGCUCGCUACAGCGGCAGGAACUGUAGGUGUGGGGGAGUGAAUGUCCAGCGCUCUCUCCACCCUCAACACCACAAAUAAGGUGUCCUUGAGCAAGGCACAACUUCUCCCCGGGUACUGCAGCAUAAAUGGCUGCCCACUGCUCUGGGUGUGUGUUCACGGUGUGUGUUCACUGCUGUGUGUGCACUUUGGAUGGGUUAAAUGAAGAGCACAAAUGUAUGUCAUGUCACUUUCACUUUUCAGUGUUCAUGAUGUGUCCAUCGGCUCCACCGCACUCUUUCUUAAAAAGUAGUGUUUUUUUUGUUUUUUGUUUUUUAAUAAGGAAAGGUUCUUUUGUGCCUUUCACUACAUUUUAGAAUGUACAUUAAAGUUUAUCAUGUCAUAACUUGGAAUAUGCAUGUUCUCAUGUAAACAAAUGUUGUUUCCCCUCUCAUUUUCUUAAACAGUAUGUACACAUUUUCAGUAUGUAGCAUUAUGAUGGGGGACGAGUUUGGAAACUUUCAAGAUCCUUCUGAUGUUAACACCUCUGUCUGGUCAUGUUGUGCUGUGAAAUUUAGAAUCUGACUUUAGAUCUUUGUGCUUCCAUGUGCAUUCAUUCCAUUUAUAUCUUAUUAUACAGAAGUACGGUACACUAAUUUUUUGUAACUAAUUGUGAUGUUAUAUACAUAUAUCUUGGUUUCUCAUUUUGACCAUGACUUGCAUUAUGGUGGGGGGAGUGCAUGUGAACUUGUGCAGGGUUAAUAUGCAGAGUUCAACCUUCUGAUUUUCAUAUUGAGUUAUGAAAUUAAAAACAAUCCCUGUGGUUUUGAUCUGAUGAAUUGAAACGCAACUAUUUGUUUCUCAAUCCCAUGCCAAUGUUAUUUAUUAUACAUCACACUUUCAAGUGUCAGUUCAGAUCUUUAGACGUGUGUUUUUAUAUUUUGCUUUUUUUUGUUUUGUUUAUCAAUUAUCAGUUGAUGUGUUGACGGCAAAUUGCUUGUUCAAUUUAAAUGUGAAUGAAAGUGUUGUCUCUAUCAUUAAAUAAAUGACAUUAAAAAAGUG
Carassius gibelio (silver crucian carp) is the source of this 5275-nucleotide long non-coding RNA. RefSeq lists it as uncharacterized. The record is from RefSeq and is a predicted model, not a curated record. NCBI's taxonomy places the organism in Eukaryota, Metazoa, Chordata, Actinopteri, Cypriniformes, Cyprinidae. The transcript has 3 exons.